This 424-nucleotide ribosomal RNA is filed under the name uncultured bacterium. RNAcentral describes it as "bacterial SSU rRNA". It matches the Rfam family "Bacterial small subunit ribosomal RNA", at positions 356 to 773 of the family's 1533-position model. The record is from RNAcentral.
GGGGAAUAUUGGACAAUGGGCGCAAGCCUGAUCCAGCAAUGCCGCGUGUGUGAAGAAGGCCUUCGGGUUGUAAAGCACUUUUAUCGGGAGCGAAAAGCGGACGGUGAAUACCCGUCGGUGCUGACGGUACCCGAGGAAUAAGCACCGGCUAACUUCGUGCCAGCAGCCGCGGUAAUACGAAGGGUGCAAGCGUUAAUCGGAAUUACUGGGCGUAAAGCGUGCGUAGGCGGUUCGCUAAGUCUGCCGUGAAAGCCCCGGGCUCAACCUGGGAAUUGCGGUGGAGACUGGCGAGCUGGAGUGUGGUAGAGGAGGGUGGAAUUCCCGGUGUAGCGGUGAAAUGCGUAGAGAUCGGGAGGAACAUCAGUGGCGAAGGCGGCCCUCUGGACCAACACUGACGCUGAGGCACGAAAGCGUGGGAGCAAAC